ACUUCCGGUCUGCUCUCAAAUCAUGAUAAACGUGGAUUCCGCGGAAAAGGAUUACCGGUAUCAUCAGCAAAGCAACACACUUUAUACUCAUUCUCUCAAGAAAGAGAACAUUAGACAAUAAGGAACAGGCAAGUAGCACCGUCAGAAGGUGAUGGCAACAGUGGUAACAGCAAGCAAAACCAGGAGGUGAGAAAUGCCUGAAAUAAACACAAGUUUUUCUAAUUUUUCUAAUUUAUUCUAUCAUGUCAUCUUAAUUUUGGGAGAACAGAAUAUGAUAAUACAAGCUGCUGCUACAAACGAAACUCCUAAUAUGAUAGGCUUAUUAUGUGAUCCAAGUAAACGAAUUUAUACUUAUUUGAAAUUUUCCUUCUGCAAAUUCCAUAAUUUCAAAAACUCUGUUCUCAGUUCACAGAAUUUCUGUUACCCUUACUAUUCUUUUAUUAAAUUCAAUCUGCUUUCCCCAUAGCUGCAAUAUAAUUGUUAUGCUAAAUCAAAGCAGUGAGGCAUUUGGUUCAGAACUUAUUUUAGCAGUGGUCAGCCAGAAGGCAAAGAAAUGUCAUUAGCAAAAUUGUUCCCUUGAAUAUAUAGAUUCUUCUAUCUGUUGUGACUACAAGCUACCUAUAGCCUACAAUUUACUGUAGUAGAUAUUAUCAUGUAGCAUUAAAUUCCAUACAUUAAUCACAUCUAUUAUAUAAAAUACCAUUUCUGUUUUUAGACAGGGUACCAAUGAUGUUUUUUCUGGAGGAAGAGAAUCUAUUUCCCACUACUAUGAAAUUUAAUCCCAACUGACACUAGUAGUUUAAUAAUUAUACAAAUAUAUACCGGGGGGGGGGCAGGGAAGGACCUAAUGAUGUUUCUAUUAAUUUCUCAAUUCUAAAAGAAAGUCUCUUCCACAACCUCAAAAGAAGCUAGCCUGGGCAAAGUGACUAGGAAACCAAAGCCUGCUUCAGGUCUACUUGGUUUUACUCUUUCAGCAAAGAAAAUACCCUAUUGUUUAAUGACAGAUUAUUACUGAUUGCUCUUUCCUUGAGCCACCUGUUGCCCACUCAGCUUCAUGUGCAUUAAAAAAAAAAAAUACUUAGGCAUAUAGGUUACAGGUACUCACCCAUCUUUUCACAUACUUCUUUUAAAAAAUAUUCUGUAUCUCCUGACUAUUGAGAUGAGAUGUUGGGUAAAGUAAGCGUGAAUAAUUUCACAGAGACUGAUACCUGCUCUCGCUAAAUAAUGAUCUCACUAAAAAAAAUCACAGAUCUACUGCAAAGAUACUGGCAGUUUCUGAAGUUAUUUUAGCUUUUCCAAGGUGCAGACUAAAGCACUGAAUAUAUGAGAAACAAUAUUAAAGUAGAGCUUCCACAGAAGAUGUAAGCUGCCUAAUAAACCCUAUUCUCUUUCUACAGAACCUUGCAUACCAUCGGUUCUUACAGGUAGUCCUCAUUUAGUGACUACAACUGGGACCAGCAACUUGGUCGUUAAGCGAAGUGAAUGAUCAACUGCUUUGGGAUCCCAUGAGAACAAAUGAAGAGCCAGGAGCCAAAUGGACAAUCUUCAACAUCUUCCUUGAAAUGUUCCCUGUUGGAGGGAGCAUCCUGAAACAACGUAAAAAAAUGGCCAGAAGAUGACAAUCCAGAAAUCUAAGGAAGCAGAAAAAUAACAUGAAAUAAGUAGUCUAAGUAAGUGACCUCUCUGAAUGUGUCAUUUAAGAAAAAGGAAGGUUUUAUGUUUGUCCAUAACAAUAAGCCCAUACUUAGAAUCUCAUGUCUCAUAAAGGUAUAGAAUGCUCAGCUCUGCUUAGCACCAAAUACAGGUUAUGAUUUUGUCUGUACGUUGCCAAAUCCUCUUGUCAUUUAACUAUUCCAAAAUAAGGCCAUAUAGAAUAUAGUUAAAUAAAAUCCCAAUACCUGUUGUCCUAGGACUUCUUUACAAACAUUUUCCUGAAUACACUGAGCGUCAAACCAGUCAUUUGGGAGAUUAGACAAAAGAUCCAUUUUGGUCACCGGCUCCUGCCUUGCAAAACACAGCAGAUUAUUCACACUAAGCCAGGCAGCAAAUGCAUUAAACAGCUUUAGAGCCUACACCAGGAAUAAGCAAUCUGCAGUUGUCUGUCUUAACAGUCACUUUAGACCUCCAGCAAGAGCUGUCUAGGCCUUUCCUGACAGCUCAUUGAGAAUCCAGAGAGGAGCCACUUUGGACUGUGGCCCUGCCAACUGCCAUGUGAUCCUCCAAAAUAUUUUUAGGGAAUGCAGUCUUCAACCCACAAAAUGUUCCAUACUCCUAUCAUAGAAUGUAAUAAUAAAAACCAGUUUUCUCCCAUCCUAUUAUGUUCUGGUUGGAAAAAUGGAAUAGGAGUAGUUGAAAACUACAAUCUAAAUGCUUCCACCUUCUGCCACAGAAUGGUAGCCAAAAUAUAGGCAACCCAUUCAAAUUACUGGAAUGAAAAUAUAAAAUGGUGUUUUGCUCACUUCAAUGUACAGUAUGGCAUAUUUGCAUUUCUUCCUUCUUUCCACAUAUAUGUGACCCGUUUCAUUUUGCAUGUUAACAUAGUGCAAAAUACUCCCAGCCUCUGAUGGGCACCAGAACCAUUUGCUCUCACUGAAGAGCAUGACAGCUCUGUUGACAAUUAACUCUGUCUCCAUGGUGAUAAGGAAUACCAAGGAGAGUGCAUAUAGACUGGAGAC
Non-coding RNA from Python bivittatus (Burmese python), 2675 nucleotides. NCBI's taxonomy places the organism in Eukaryota, Metazoa, Chordata, Lepidosauria, Squamata, Pythonidae. The record is from RefSeq and is a predicted model, not a curated record.